RNAcentral lists this ribosomal RNA (1534 nucleotides) under Streptococcus pneumoniae. RNAcentral describes it as "bacterial SSU rRNA". It matches the Rfam family "Bacterial small subunit ribosomal RNA". Lineage: Bacteria; Bacillati; Bacillota; Bacilli; Lactobacillales; Streptococcaceae. The record is from RNAcentral.
AGAGUUUGAUCCUGGCUCAGGACGAACGCUGGCGGCGUGCCUAAUACAUGCAAGUAGAACGCUGAAGGAGGAGCUUGCUUCUCUGGAUGAGUUGCGAACGGGUGAGUAACGCGUAGGUAACCUGCCUGGUAGCGGGGGAUAACUAUUGGAAACGAUAGCUAAUACCGCAUAAGAGUGGAUGUUGCAUGACAUUUGCUUAAAAGGUGCACUUGCAUCACUACCAGAUGGACCUGCGUUGUAUUAGCUAGUUGGUGGGGUAAGGGCUCACCAAGGCGACGAUACAUAGCCGACCUGAGAGGGUGAUCGGCCACACUGGGACUGAGACACGGCCCAGACUCCUACGGGAGGCAGCAGUAGGGAAUCUUCGGCAAUGGACGGAAGUCUGACCGAGCAACGCCGCGUGAGUGAAGAAGGUUUUCGGAUCGUAAAGCUCUGUUGUAAGAGAAGAACGAGUGUGAGAGUGGAAAGUUCACACUGUGACGGUAUCUUACCAGAAAGGGACGGCUAACUACGUGCCAGCAGCCGCGGUAAUACGUAGGUCCCGAGCGUUGUCCGGAUUUAUUGGGCGUAAAGCGAGCGCAGGCGGUUAGAUAAGUCUGAAGUUAAAGGCUGUGGCUUAACCAUAGUAGGCUUUGGAAACUGUUUAACUUGAGUGCAAGAGGGGAGAGUGGAAUUCCAUGUGUAGCGGUGAAAUGCGUAGAUAUAUGGAGGAACACCGGUGGCGAAAGCGGCUCUCUGGCUUGUAACUGACGCUGAGGCUCGAAAGCGUGGGGAGCAAACAGGAUUAGAUACCCUGGUAGUCCACGCUGUAAACGAUGAGUGCUAGGUGUUAGACCCUUUCCGGGGUUUAGUGCCGUAGCUAACGCAUUAAGCACUCCGCCUGGGGAGUACGACCGCAAGGUUGAAACUCAAAGGAAUUGACGGGGGCCCGCACAAGCGGUGGAGCAUGUGGGUUAAUUCGAAGCAACGCGAAGAACCUUACCAGGUCUUGACAUCCCUCUGACCGCUCUAGAGAUAGAGUUUUCCUUCGGGACAGAGGUGACAGGUGGUGCAUGGUUGUCGUCAGCUCGUGUCGUGAGAUGUUGGGUUAAGUCCCGCAACGAGCGCAACCCCUAUUGUUAGUUGCCAUCAUUUAGUUGGGCACUCUAGCGAGACUGCCGGUAAUAAACCGGAGGAAGGUGGGGAUGACGUCAAAUCAUCAUGCCCCUUAUGACCUGGGCUACACACGUGCUACAAUGGCUGGUACAACGAGUCGCAAGCCGGUGACGGCAAGCUAAUCUCUUAAAGCCAGUCUCAGUUCGGAUUGUAGGCUGCAACUCGCCUAUAUGAAGUCGGAAUCGCUAGUAAUCGCGGAUCAGCACGCCGCGGUGAAUACGUUCCCGGGCCUUGUACACACCGCCCGUCACACCACGAGAGUUUGUAACACCCGAAGUCGGUGAGGUAACCGUAAGGAGCCAGCCGCCUAAGGUGGGAUAGAUGAUUGGGGUGAAGUCGUAACAGGGUAGCCGUAUCGGAAGGUGCGGCUGGAUCACCU